UGAAGAUUGAUAAUGCUGUCAACCAC
This 26-nucleotide small RNA is filed under the name Bombyx mori (domestic silkworm). Its description in RNAcentral is "ovarian small RNA-30922". Lineage: Eukaryota; Metazoa; Arthropoda; Insecta; Lepidoptera; Bombycidae. The record is from RNAcentral.